AUUGAACGCUGGCGGCAUGCUUUACACAUGCAAGUCGAACGGUAACAGGUUAAGCUGACGAGUGGCGAACGGGUGAGUAAUGCAUCGGAACGUGCCCGGUCGUGGGGGAUAACGCAGCGAAAGCUGCGCUAAUACCGCAUACGAUCUGAGGAUGAAAGCGGGGGACCGUAAGGCCUCGCGCGAUCGGAGCGGCCGAUGUCAGAUUAGGUAGUUGGUGGGGUAAAGGCUCACCAAGCCGACGAUCUGUAGCUGGUCUGAGAGGACGACCAGCCACACUGGGACUGAGACACGGCCCAGACUCCUACGGGAGGCAGCAGUGGGGAAUUUUGGACAAUGGGCGCAAGCCUGACCCAGCAACGCCGCGUGAGGGAGAAGGUCUUCGGAUUGUAAACCUCUGUCCUUGGGGACGAAAAAAUGACGGUACCCAAGGAGGAAGCCCCGGCUAACUACGUG
RNAcentral lists this ribosomal RNA (453 nucleotides) under uncultured bacterium. RNAcentral describes it as "bacterial SSU rRNA". It matches the Rfam family "Bacterial small subunit ribosomal RNA", at positions 29 to 507 of the family's 1533-position model. The record is from RNAcentral.